UGAAGACGACGACGUUGAUAGGUCGGGUGUGUAAGCGCAGCGAUGCGUUGAGCUAACCGAUACUAAUGAACCGUGAGGCUUAACCUUACAACGCCGAAG
This 99-nucleotide ribosomal RNA is filed under the name Enterobacter cloacae. RNAcentral's name for it is "partial 23S ribosomal RNA". The stretch from base 1 to 87 matches the Rfam family "Bacterial large subunit ribosomal RNA", at positions 2839 to 2925 of the family's 2925-position model. Lineage: Bacteria; Pseudomonadati; Pseudomonadota; Gammaproteobacteria; Enterobacterales; Enterobacteriaceae. RNAcentral also lists the same sequence under 1 other name. The record is from RNAcentral.